Long non-coding RNA from Amphibalanus amphitrite, 460 nucleotides. RefSeq lists it as uncharacterized. The record is from RefSeq and is a predicted model, not a curated record. Lineage: Eukaryota; Metazoa; Arthropoda; Thecostraca; Balanomorpha; Balanidae. The transcript has 3 exons.
CGAAGCAGAUUACUACGGUAUCAAAAUUUCUUCAAGUCCGGAUUCGUCACCAUCGCCAAAUGCAAGCACAAUAUCUGAAGUUCUGGACAGCUCUGGUAUUUCUAUGCGGAAGUAUGCCAAAUUAGCCGCCACAACACCAACCCUGCCGAGACAGCACAACGUUCGACGCUUCCGGCAACAGCUCAACGAACAAAUCGCCAUCACUGACACUGAUCAUGGUGCUCGGAGGCAGCUCCGUGACCUGCUUACGGCUAUGAGACCCUCCGUCAGAAACGGACCUGACAAUUCGGUCCGCGUGAAGAUAUCAGGCGAUGGUGCACCGGUGGGGAAGUACCGGAGUUUCCUGAAUCUUUCCGUGAGCCUCCCUGAUGAGCCGACACCAGCACAACGACAGCCGAGACUCCUCGAGAUCAGCACAGCAAAAGAAUGCUGGUCAACUCUACAGACACUCCUUAGACCA